This is a long non-coding RNA of Gasterosteus aculeatus aculeatus (three-spined stickleback), 3057 nucleotides long. Lineage: Eukaryota; Metazoa; Chordata; Actinopteri; Perciformes; Gasterosteidae. The record is from Ensembl.
GCAGUUAUAGAUCAGACUGUAUAAUUGGAUUCCAGCAGUGGCUGUGUGUUGCAGUCGUGCCAUUCAAACCUUUCCUUCAAAUAUGGUUGAAAAAAAGGUAGACCUCAUCAUUUCCAGAAAAAACACUGCCAUGAUCUAAUGAAACCUUUCCAAAAAAGCUUUUUCACUGCCGUCAGAAGAACGCUUUGCUGUCCGGCCUGCUGCACAAAAAGAACCUGUAUUACGAACCGUCGGCCUGUUUGCUCUUUCAUUCUCUCACUGACUGUUAAAUGUGCAGCUCUAAAAUAAGCGCUGAAUAGUCUUCUGGUCAGAAAUAAGAGUGACUGUUUUUCCAGGCUUGUAAGACAUGAGCCAAGAACUGAAAGCAAAUAAGAGAAUUCUGAAAUUUUGCGAUUUUUGUAUUUGCAAAAGCCUCGUCACACUCCAAAAGCUCUUAAUAAGUUCAGGACGCUGUACGUUGUCACAGCACUGCCUCAUCAUUACAAUAACACAGAUUAUCUUGAGAAUUACUGUCUGACUCGGCUGUUUUAUUCAGUUAAUAUCAAUUAAACUUCCUGCACAGAUGUUUCAAAUUAAAAGCUUCCCAUUUGGCAAUUGGGCAGAAAUCCUCCGUUUACCUGGUAGGCUUUUAAUGUGAAAUAUAAGCAUUUACUUCACCAGGUGGGGAAAACCUGGUACUACUGAUGGAACGAAUGCUGUGCAAGUGUUAUGCUGAACGUACCAUGGGAGGGAUGUAUAAGCGGGCCUGUAUGGUAUGGCUCCUAUAAUAAAUACAAACGUUCUGAUCCAACAGAAGCAUUUUAAACGGCGUGAAGAAGCUCUGUUUCUAUUUUACAUGUCCAUGUUUAUAUAAUCCCAAAAAAGCUUUAGGCCUUUCUGGAAAAAUAAUCAUUUUGUAGUUGAUCAAUUAACUCAAUCAAUGCUGUAAAAUGAUUCAUCAUGGACAACCCCCACCCCCCCUCCCCCCCAUGAACGCGGACAAAGUGGAGGUAAUGCACGAAUGUUGACGGGUAAAAAGGGAAUGAGGUGAUUGGGCUCGCAAGGUUCAAAAGCAGGUUACACAUUUUGUCUAAGCCUGGGAUUUAUGUUCAGUGGGGAUUAUGGGAUGUCUGUAGUGCUGCAGCAGAUCCACACUUUGAUUUGAGAUUUAAACAGCCGCUUCCAGCUCCAUAUUGGGACUGGAGUUGCUGCCAUGUCGGUUAAUAAGUGUCUUUUAUUUAAUGGUUCCUGGUCCUAAUGGUGUACAGGUGAGUACUUUGGGCCAAAGAUACCACCACCUGAUGUCUUACUCUUUAGUUUUUAAAUAGCUUUUCAUCAGACAUCACACAACUACUGGACUGGGCGUCUUUUGCAGGUCUUGAAAUAAGAAAAAAAACCUUUUUGAAUGCUUCUAUUUUGUGUGGAGUUCUGUUGGUCCCACAUCAUGGCUUCUAAGACCAGUUUGGAGCUGUUCCCUAUUUCUCUUGUCAACAAAAGCCAUCAGUACAGUCUUUUGCGUCCUACUGAUGCUGUUGCAAAAUCAUCAUCAUCAUUAUCAUUAUAAUUAUUAUGAAGGCUCACAAACGUCUUUGUUCAGUAAUGCCCUGAAACCGCUGGUCACUGUAGUGUUUAGUAAAUGUUACUUAAAUGGGAGUAAAUAGUGGAGUAGUUGUGGAUCAACGCAGAUGCACAGAAUCAAUGGUUGGUUUAGGUCUUAUGGGAUUUGUUGACUGGAAGAUAUCAGACCAGAGGACUUGUCCUUUUUAAUAUCCGGUGUUCUAUGGGGAGGAGGAGGUCUCAUUCGGUAUAGUUUUGCUUCACACCAGCAUAACUGUUGCAGUUCGGCUGCGUGGUUCCGGCUUGUCGGCCUAACCUUUGCUUGACGUUCAGGGUUCCCGUCUGCCAAUGACUCUACAAGCCGGUUAACUCUCGCAGGCGCUCUGACUGCUUAGUUGUGGACUUUCAUAACGUACCAUUUACAUUUUUCACAAAACAUGCAAGUCAGAAAACCCUAAAAAUGGCAGAUGAGGGAUGGAUGUUUCACAACUGGACCUCAGCUUUGUUUCUAUUCCACGCCAUGUGUUUUGAUAACUGCCUCGUCCUCCUGCUGUUGCUCACACCCCCUCAUGUCAGUGAAGCAGCUGCUGUGCCUUUCUGCUUCCUUGUGCUUAUGCAGCAGUGUGUCUCCCAAGAUGAGUUGAUACUGGUCUGGUCGCUCCCUCCACCAAGCGUCCCCGGCGUGCUCUGCAAAGACCAGCUGCUGCUCCCCGAAUGUUACGCGCGCUGUAUGUGUUCACGUGCGUUUCACUAUAGUCGCUUGUGGUGUAAGUGAUCAGCUUCGCUGUGCUCGUGUCCGUUUGGUGCCGUUGUAGUGUUUGAGGUGCACAUCGGGCCUUGUGAAUUGGUGGUACAUGUGACCUUGUUGAAGCAAUUGUUGGAUAUGAGAGCUGGUUGUUUUUUUAGUUUUUUUUUAUAUGAAUUUAAAUGUUUUUAUCGGUGUUCACUGUGAUCAUGUCCUAGUUCCAACGACACAUGAGGUUGGGUUUAGUGUUCUUUCGCUCACAUUUGAGAGGAAUGAGGCCCUUGGAUAUCAUCAGAAUGAAGAUGCAUCUUUAACUUUAAUAAAAUGAAUGAAUACCCGGAAUCAAAGUCUACAAUUCCCAAGCACUCCAUAUUAAAUGCUGCCAUUUAUUUUAUAACCCGUAAAUCAAAGGGCGUCUUGUUGAAGUGCAGCUGUGAGAAAUGUGUCCAUAACUAUUAUUUUUUUUGUUAGUCCAUUGUAAAUUAUGGUUUUACUAACCAAAACGUCUGAAACUAUAAAAUCAUUUAACAACAUGGUCGUUGCACAUUGGUUGUUUAUAUUCACUGUUUUCUUUACAAAGUCCUAAAAUGCCCUUUUUUCAUUGUCUCUCUGGUAAUAUGGAAGUAAAAUCUUUUCAAAUGGGUUGUUUUUCUAUUUUCUUGUGAGGCUUUAGUGUGGAAGAGUGUCUUCUCCUCAGGUUCAGGCAUUACUGUCUCAAAAUCGAUUGCUUUGGUGUUUUUAUAUUUCUCACAUUUUUAUCUGAUGUUGUAAAUGGG